This 205-nucleotide ribosomal RNA is filed under the name Escherichia coli. Its description in RNAcentral is "partial 16S ribosomal RNA". It matches the Rfam family "Bacterial small subunit ribosomal RNA", at positions 1 to 211 of the family's 1533-position model. The record is from RNAcentral. Lineage: Bacteria; Pseudomonadati; Pseudomonadota; Gammaproteobacteria; Enterobacterales; Enterobacteriaceae.
UUAAAUUGAAGAGUUUGAUCAUGGCUCAGAUUGAACGCUGGCGGCAGGCCUAACACAUGCAAGUCGAACGGUAACAGGAAGAAGCUUGCUUCUUUGCUGACGAGUGGCGGACGGGUGAGUAAUGUCUGGGAAACUGCCUGAUGGAGGGGGAUAACUACUGGAAACGGUAGCUAAUACCGCAUAACGUCGCAAGACCAAAGGGGGC